GUGGGUCUGAGGGCCAGAGCAAGCAGUCACCCAGCAAUCAUUUCAGAGUCGAUGUAGUAGCACCGUUUAUGGAAAUGAAGCAUCCCUGUAGACUGCCAGCAAUUGUACAAAUGAGGAAUGCUGUGGUCUGGGUACCCCUCGCAUAUAUCUGCACCAAGGUCUCAUCAUACACCCAUACCUAGGUUGGAGAGUGAGGUUGGCACUAUCCUGAAGAUUCUAGCCACACACACAGGAAAUAGAACUUGCUGCUGACUGCGUGGGCCAACAGCGAAUAAAUAACUGUUUCCUUUGGAAAA
This is a long non-coding RNA of Mastomys coucha (southern multimammate mouse), 296 nucleotides long. RefSeq lists it as uncharacterized. The record is from RefSeq and is a predicted model, not a curated record. The transcript has 2 exons. Lineage: Eukaryota; Metazoa; Chordata; Mammalia; Rodentia; Muridae.